GCCCUUCCACCAUGUGAGUAUACAGAGAGAAGGUAUGAUCCAUGGAUCAGGAAACCAGCCUUCCCUAGACAUGGAAUCUGCUGGCACCUUGAUUUUGAACUUCCCAGACUCCAGAACUACUCCUGCCCCUGCCACGAGAACACACCCUUUCCAGUUUGCUGGAGAAAUAUAAGAGAAGUCCAGUGAAAGAGAGCUGAGUUUCCCCAAUGAUGCCAUCAAGAUGAACUAACUACAGUUAACCAGCCAGCUGAUAGCAGAUGCAUGAGUGAGCCCAGCUGAGAGCAGUGCCUACAAUAGUUCCUGGUAUGUAGAAGGUAUACAAUAAAUAUUGGCGGAGUGAAGGAACAAAUGGGAUUUGCUUGAUUCUGCUGCAGAAGACUAAGAAAAAGACAUAAAUGAAUAAAUAACUAGUAGAAUGUUAACACAAUCAGAAAAAGGACCAUUUCUUUUCAUUUGGAUGUCUCAAAUCUAUUUGUUGUUUUUGUUGUUGUUGUUUUUCUGGCUGGGCUUGAA
Molecule: long non-coding RNA, 513 nt
Filed under: Homo sapiens (human)
Lineage: Eukaryota; Metazoa; Chordata; Mammalia; Primates; Hominidae
Description: HSALNT0402925
Source: RNAcentral